AGGGUUCGAUCAUGGCUCAGGACGAACGCUGGCGGUGCGCCUUAUGCAUGCAAGUCGAGCGAAGCUUUUCAGUAGUUUACUACAGAAAAUGACUGAGCGGCGAACGGGUGAGUAACGCGUGAGCAAUCUACCUUAGUUACAGGGAUAGCCCGAGGAAACUCGGAUUAAUACCUGAUAUUCUUUAUUUCUCGCAUGAGAAUAAAAGGAAAGGUCAGCCGAACUAAGAUGAGCUCGCGUUCUAUCAGCUAGUUGGUGAGGUAAAAGCUUACCAAGGCUACGACGGAUAGCUGGUCUGAGAGGACGAUCAGCCACACUGGGACUGAGACACGGCCCAGACUCCUACGGGAGGCUGCAGCAGGGAAUAUUGUGCAAUGAACGAAAGUUUGACACAGCGACACCGCGUGUGGGAUGACGGAUCUAGGUUUGUAAACCACUUUCAGGAGGGAAGAAAAUGACGGUACCUCCACAAGAAGCCCCGGCCAACUACGUGCCAGCCGCCGCGGUAAUUC
RNAcentral lists this ribosomal RNA (509 nucleotides) under uncultured bacterium. RNAcentral's name for it is "bacterial SSU rRNA". It matches the Rfam family "Bacterial small subunit ribosomal RNA", at positions 8 to 526 of the family's 1533-position model. The record is from RNAcentral.